UACGUAGGGUGCGAGCGUUGUCCGGAAUUAUUGGGCGUAAAGAGCUCGUAGGCGGUCUGUCGCGUCGAUCGUGAAAACUUGGGGCUUAACCCUGAGCUUGCGGUCGAUACGGGCAUGACUGGAGUUCGGCAGGGGAGACUGGAAUUCCUGGUGUAGCGGUGAAAUGCGCAGAUAUCAGGAGGAACACCGAUGGCGAAGGCAGGUCUCUGGGCCACUACUGACGCUGAGAAGCGAAAGCAUGGGGAGCGAACAGG
RNAcentral lists this ribosomal RNA (254 nucleotides) under uncultured bacterium. Its description in RNAcentral is "partial 16S ribosomal RNA". It matches the Rfam family "Bacterial small subunit ribosomal RNA", at positions 524 to 776 of the family's 1533-position model. The record is from RNAcentral.